Long non-coding RNA from Mytilus californianus (California mussel), 366 nucleotides. RefSeq lists it as uncharacterized. The transcript has 3 exons. The record is from RefSeq and is a predicted model, not a curated record. Lineage: Eukaryota; Metazoa; Mollusca; Bivalvia; Mytilida; Mytilidae.
GAAAUGAUUGUAAGGUGUAUAUGUCCGUUUCACAGAUAGUAUAAACAAUAGGUUAACUAUAUUUGGUGUACGAAAUGAUUGUAAGGUGUAUAUGUCCGUUUCUCAGAUAGUAUAAACAAUAGGUUAACUAUAUUUGGUGUACGAAAUGAUUGUAAGGUGUAUAUGUCCGUUUCUCAGAUAGUAUAAACAAUAGGUUAACUAUAUUUGGUGUAGGAAAUGAUUGUAAGGUGUAUAUGUCUGUUUCUCAGAUAGUAUAAACAAUAGGUUAACUAUAUUUGGUGUACCAAAUGAUUGUAAGGUGUAUAUGUCCGUUUCUCAGAUAGUAUAAACAAUAGGUUAACUAUAUUUGGUGUACGAAAUGAUUGU